This 399-nucleotide ribosomal RNA is filed under the name uncultured bacterium. Its description in RNAcentral is "bacterial SSU rRNA". It matches the Rfam family "Bacterial small subunit ribosomal RNA", at positions 356 to 773 of the family's 1533-position model. The record is from RNAcentral.
GGGGAAUAUUGCACAAUGGGCGAAAGCCUGAUGCAGCAACGCCGCGUGAGCGAGGAAGGCCUUUGGGUCGUAAAGCUCUGUCGGGAAGGAAGAUAAUGACGGUACUUCCCGAGGAAGCCCCGGCUAACUACGUGCCAGCAGCCGCGGUAAUACGUAGGGGGCGAGCGUUAUCCGGAAUUAUUGGGCGUAAAGAGUGCGUAGGUGGUUGUUUAAGCGUGGGGUGAAAGGCAAUAGCUCAACUAUUGUAAGCCUCGCGAACUGGGCGACUUGAGUGCAGGAGAGGAAAGCGGAAUUCCUAGUGUAGCGGUGAAAUGCGUAGAUAUUAGGAGGAACACCAGUGGCGAAGGCGGCUUUCUGGACUGUAACUGACACUGAGGCACGAAAGCGUGGGGAGCAAAC